RNAcentral lists this ribosomal RNA (275 nucleotides) under uncultured Allobrachymonas sp. Its description in RNAcentral is "uncultured Brachymonas sp. partial 16S ribosomal RNA". It matches the Rfam family "Bacterial small subunit ribosomal RNA", at positions 338 to 605 of the family's 1533-position model. Lineage: Bacteria; Pseudomonadati; Pseudomonadota; Betaproteobacteria; Burkholderiales; Comamonadaceae. The record is from RNAcentral.
CCUACGGGGGGCAGCAGUGGGGAAUUUUGGACAAUGGACGCAAGUCUGAUCCAGCAAUGCCGCGUGCAGGACGAAGGCCUUCGGGUUGUAAACUGCUUUUGUACAGAACGAAAAGGCUCUGGUUAAUACCUGGGGCUCAUGACGGUACUGUAAGAAUAAGCACCGGCUAACUACGUGCCAGCAGCCGCGGUAAUACGUAGGGUGCGAGCGUUAAUCGGAAUUACUGGGCGUAAAGCGUGCGCAGGCGGUUUUGUAAGACCGAUGUGAAAUCCCCG